GUGCUCACUUCGGCAGCACAUAUACUAAAAUUGGAAUGAUACAGAGAAGAUUAGCAUGGCCCCUGCACAAGGAUGACACGCAAAUUCGUGAAGCAUUCCAUAUUUAA
Molecule: small nuclear RNA, 107 nt
Organism: Callithrix jacchus (white-tufted-ear marmoset)
Lineage: Eukaryota; Metazoa; Chordata; Mammalia; Primates; Cebidae
Source: Ensembl